Long non-coding RNA from Eriocheir sinensis (Chinese mitten crab), 996 nucleotides. RefSeq lists it as uncharacterized. NCBI's taxonomy places the organism in Eukaryota, Metazoa, Arthropoda, Malacostraca, Decapoda, Varunidae. The record is from RefSeq and is a predicted model, not a curated record. The transcript is spliced from 3 exons.
GUUUCAGAGUUUACCAGUGAAGGGGAUGAAAGAAUGGAGAUGCUGGUUAACUCUUGCAUAAGGGUUUUGGACAGUAUAGGGACGAGCAUGAGUAGAAAGUCGUGUGCAACAAGGCCGCAGGUGUGUGCAAGCAUGUCAUUCCCCUAGUUCUUACCCCGACCGCUGCGACUGGCACGGAUUUGGCCUUCACUGAUAGUCUGGUAACAAAUACGCCCAGGUCUUUCUCUGCCUCUGUGGUGGAUGGUGGAGUUUUUCCCAUGUGGUAUUGGUGUGCUGGAUAUCCCUUCACUGGUAGCCUGGUAACAUACACUCCCAGGUCUUUCUCUGCCUCUGUGGUGGAUGGUGGAGUUUUUCCCAUGUGGUAUUGGUGUGCUGGAUAUCCCUUCACUGGUAGCCUGGUAACAUACAGCCCCAUCUCUUUCUCUGCCUCUGUGGUGGAUAGUGGAGUGUUUCCCAUGUGGUAUUGGUGAGCUGGAUAUCCCUUCACUGGUAGCCUGGUAACAUACACUCCCAGGUCUUUCUCUGCCUCUGUGGUGGAUAGUGGAGUGUUUCCCAUGUGGUAUUGGUGUGCUGGAUAUCCCUUCACUGGUAGCCUGGUAACAUACACUCCCAGGUCUUUCUCUGCCUCUGUGGUGGAUAGUGGAAUGUUUCCCAUGUGGUAUUGGUGUGCUGGAUAUCCCUUCACUGGUAGCCUGGUAACAUACACUCCCAGGUCUUUCUCUGCCUCUGUGGUGGAUAGUGGAGUGUUUCCCAUGUGGUAUUGGUGUGCUGGAUAUCCCUUCACUGGUAGCCUGGUAACAUACACUCCCAGGUCUUCCUCUGCCUCUGUGGUGGAUAGUGGAGUGUUUCCCAUGUGGUAUUGGUGUGCUGGAUAUCCCUUCACUGGUAGCCUGGUAACAUACACUCCCAGGUCUUUCUCUGCCUCUGUGGUGGAUAGUGGAGUGUUUCCCAUGUGGUAUUGGUGUGCUGGAUAUCCCUUCACUGGUAGCCUGGUAA